RNAcentral lists this ribosomal RNA (707 nucleotides) under Meloidogyne spartelensis. RNAcentral describes it as "eukaryotic LSU rRNA". It matches the Rfam family "Eukaryotic large subunit ribosomal RNA", at positions 345 to 911 of the family's 3401-position model. The record is from RNAcentral. Lineage: Eukaryota; Metazoa; Nematoda; Chromadorea; Rhabditida; Meloidogynidae.
AAAGUACCGUGAGGGAAAGUUGAAAAGCACUUUGAAGAGAGAGUUAAAGAGGACGUGAAACCGGUGAGGUGGAAACGGGUAGAGUCGACGUAUCUUGCAAGUAUUCAUUUACAUUAUCUUUAUGUUGUGAGCUCUGAGCUCCAGAUUGGGACAGAGUAAAGCAACGUGAUGUUUUGUGAUGCAUUUGCUUGUUUGGUGUGUGGGGAUACCUAAGACAGAUUUGCAACCAUCAUUUUGAGGCUAGCUUGCUUGUACCCAAAUGGUGUUAGUAUUUUUUNUUUUGGGUAUUUGAGUAUGGCUUACGGGCAUUAAUUGGUUCGGUCUGAGGGUAAGUUACGGUCGCAUGCGAUACGUGCUUUUCAGUUAGUCCGAUCCAGUUUAUGCUUUCAUACUCUUUCCCCAUGUAAAAGUCGGUCAUCUAUCCGACCCGUCUUGAAACACGGACCAAGGAGUUUAUCGUGUGCGCGAGUUUUUGUGUGUUGAAAACCUAAAAGCUAAAUGAAAGUAAAUGACUCUUUGAGUCUGAUGUGCGAUCUUUUUUUAAAAAAGUGCAGCAUGGCCCCAUUCUAACUGUUUACAGUAGGGUGGCGGAAGAGCGUACGCGGUGAGACCCGAAAGAUGGUGAACUAUUCCUGAGCAGGACGAAGCCAGAGGAAACUCUGGUGGAAGUCCGAAGCGGUUCUGACGUGCAAAUCGAUCGUCUGACU